This is a long non-coding RNA of Equus caballus (horse), 1927 nucleotides long. NCBI's taxonomy places the organism in Eukaryota, Metazoa, Chordata, Mammalia, Perissodactyla, Equidae. The record is from Ensembl.
GCAGCUGUAGGCCUGCCAGUGCUGGAGAGCAGGGGCUGGACUGGUCGGACAGGCCAGGCCGGGCUGGGGAAGGCGCCUGGGGAGCAGCCUCCCCAGCCAGCCUCAGUCUGAGGGCCCAGGGUGGGAGGACCUCACACAAGUUUGCAUCGCUUUGAUUCCCAAAGAUUUUCAUCUCACUAGAGCCUUCGCCAAGAGCUGUGAUUCUCAAUGCUGCCACACACUGGAAUCCCCUGGAGAGCUUGAAAUCAGUCACCUAGGAGCGCAUGCCCAGCCUGCACCCCAGGGUGGGACCCGGGCAUCAGCAUUUGUAAAAGUCCCCCAGAGGAUUCCAAGGUGCCGCCAACGCCGAGAGCCACUGGUCUAAAGCAGCUUUCACCUAAUGCUUGGCCGUUGUGAAUAAUGCUGCAGUGACCAUGGGAGCGCAGAUAUCUCUUCAAGAUCCUGAUUUCAACUCUUGGAUAUAUACCCACAAGUGGGAUUGCUGGAUCUUAUGGCAGUUCUAUUUUUAAUUUUUUGAGGAACCUCCAAAUUGUUUUCCAUAGCGACUGUACCAUUUUACACUCCCACCAACAGCGCACCAGAAUGAAAGUCUCUUGGAUGCCAAUCUUGACUCCUUAAAGGAAUGACGUCUGUCUCUGAAAAGGGACCACAAUGAAGAUCCCUCCCCGUCGCAGUCAACACGGAUGCAGGCAUCCAUUCCCUCAGGACCCCUCCUCCCACAGAUCCGUGCUUGCUUUCUCCAACAUGCCUGACCAAUGUUAACCUCUGCUUGCACACCACCCCUGACGGGGCACUCACUUCCUGUCAAGCUAGAUCCCUGAACCCUUGACCAGCUGGAAGAUCCUCCUUGCUCCCAAGGAGCUGGACCCCACAUCCCUGGCCCCUCUACCCACUCCUCCUGGUUUUCCAAGACAGCUCAGAAGACUGAUCAUCUUCUUCAAGCGCCCCACAUCCAAAAGUGUCUUGAGGAAGGAAGAGGGGAGAAGGGGGGAAACUGGAGAUUUGCCCUUCUGCCAGCCUUGCCCAGCUUCCGAGCCCUGCCUGAACUCAGCCUCCCCCAGCGAUCCAGGUCCUGGAGGCUCCCUGCCUCAGCAGCUGCUUCUUUAAGAAGCGCCAGGAGGGGGGGGGCCGGUCCUCGCUACUGUCCUUGGAUCCUGUCCAGGGCCCUGAUUUAAAAGGUAUUGCAAGGUUUUUAAAAAACAAACAUGUGUUGUAACCCAAGGCCCUGGUAACCACAACACUGCCGGCUGCUAGCUGCCGCCUCCCAGGCUGAGAGGAGAGGAAGCUGCUCUCCGCCUACCCCGCAGCACCCCACACUCUGCAACGCGCCGCGCCGUACUUACCCUAUUAUAUCAGGCUGGGAGCUCAGCGAGGGCAGGGCCUGGGCUGCACCUGGGGGCUGCAGGCCUUCUGGACUGAAGUGCUUUUUGGACCCACACCAGUUCUCUCAUGAACCAUUCCAGUAGAUAGUUGAUGGCUCUAAGACCACGCUUUCUGUCCACUCCACCUGAGCCCCAGAGUGACCAUGCAUACACCAAUCUGAUGGGGCCACCCUCACUGCCUACAGGAUAAAGUAAAAUCAUCUUGACUGGGCUUUCAAGGCUUCCCCCUUCUACCUGUGUCUCCCUCACUCCCUGUAUUCGCCCAGCACUCCGGCCACACUGAGCCACUGAGCCCCCUGGAAAACCUGCACAGCGCUGGGCAUGAAUGUUCUUCCCCAUUUUCUUUCUUUUUAAUUUUAAUUUUUGUACAUUUAUGUGUUACAAAAUGAUCACCACAAUAAGGUCAGUUAGCACAUUCAUCCCCUCACAGAGAUACAGUUCCCCACUGUCUUGACAAGAAGAAGUCUACGGAGCCCAGCUGGGCCAUCACAUCCUGGGUGAAGCCUGCCCCACCCUGCCUUCUCCCAGACAGAACUUGGUACUCC